This 370-nucleotide ribosomal RNA is filed under the name Clostridioides sp. Its description in RNAcentral is "bacterial SSU rRNA". It matches the Rfam family "Bacterial small subunit ribosomal RNA", at positions 1 to 380 of the family's 1533-position model. The record is from RNAcentral. Lineage: Bacteria; Bacillati; Bacillota; Clostridia; Peptostreptococcales; Peptostreptococcaceae.
UUUAUUGAGAGUUUGAUCCUGGCUCAGGAUGAACGCUGGCGGCGUGCCUAACACAUGCAAGUCGAACGAAUCUCUUCGGAGAAGAGUGGCGGACGGGUGAGUAACGCGUGGGUAACCUACCCUGUACACACGGAUAACAUAUCGAAAGGUAUGCUAAUACGGGAUAAAGUAUGAGAUUGACAUCUAUUUCAUACCAAAGGUCAGCCGGUACAGGAUGGACCCGCGUCUGAUUAGCUAGUUGGUGAGAUAACAGCCCACCAAGGCAACGAUCAGUAGCCGACCUGAGAGGGUGAUCGGCCACAUUGGAACUGAGACACGGUCCAAACUCCUACGGGAGGCAGCAGUGGGGAAUAUUGCACAAUGGGCGAAA